ACCAUCCUUUUCUUGGGGUUGCAGUACUGUCCAAAGAGCAUGUAGUGAGGGCAGUACUGCUAACGUCUACAUGACACACCCACAUCAUGCUUUAGCUUGGUGUAAUUUUUGGAAAA
Small nuclear RNA from Callithrix jacchus (white-tufted-ear marmoset), 116 nucleotides. The record is from Ensembl. Lineage: Eukaryota; Metazoa; Chordata; Mammalia; Primates; Cebidae.